Molecule: long non-coding RNA, 347 nt
Organism: Motacilla alba alba
Lineage: Eukaryota; Metazoa; Chordata; Aves; Passeriformes; Motacillidae
Exons: 3
Source: RefSeq, a predicted model, not a curated record
CAAAACAGGAGACAGAACAAUAAUACAGCAGAGGCAGAGCUGGUGGAGAGGCUGAGAGGAACAGAUGAAAGAAAGAGAGCAGAAGAGGUUCUGCAUUGUGGUGGGCAGCACAGUUCUCCAGCAAGGACCCUGCUCAGGAUUACAGGGAGCUGUGGUCAUCCUCUGAGUCAAUACAGCUGCGGUGAAGCGUGUAACUCAAAUGUGCUCCUGAAAUAUCCCGGAAUGCAAAAACAGGAGGCUGGGACUCUGCAGCCAGUACAUGCUGGUGUGUCCCUUGGCAGCCUCCAGUUCAAGGCCUCAAGCACUUCCUUCUGGUGGAGCCAAGGGAUCUGACCAGAGAACAUGCC